CUGAGGUGGGGGGCAAAGUCCCAACCUGGCCCGCCUCGCUAUCCGUGUGCCUACGUCGCCCACAGACGUGCAGUCGGAACUCUCCUCGGAGGAAUCGAGCCUGGGAAAUGCGAGCGUCGGAGGGCCUGGAGCGCGGCGGCAGCUGGCUGGUAUUCGGGCCCAUCCGAAUAAGCGAGUCCAAUGCCUCGGGCAGCGGGAGCUUGACAGGAGCUUGGAUGGCCAUCUUUCUCUUGAUGGUGAUAGGCUGGAUGCUGGGAUAAAAGCCUGCCCAGAUACCACCCCCACCCCUAAUCCUUGCCCUCUGGUUUCCUUGCCUGAGGCAGGGGUGGACUGGAAGAUAAUUUAGGGAGAGGCAAGUAGUCUGUUCUCUUGUUAGGGACCAAAGAGAUUGGGGGUGAAGAUGGGACUGAUGUGUGGCCCAACUCUUGUUGGUAAGGAGUGUGGCUGCUGAGCACUGGGCUGUGUUUCCCCAUCCCACCUUCUCUUUUCAUCUCUAAAACUCUUCCAGAGGGGUACUGGGUUGCUCAGUAUGCUAGGGGGAGGUGCAGAGAGUAUGGCCAAUAAAUAGCAGGGAAUUCUG
Lemur catta (Ring-tailed lemur) is the source of this 580-nucleotide long non-coding RNA. RefSeq lists it as uncharacterized. NCBI's taxonomy places the organism in Eukaryota, Metazoa, Chordata, Mammalia, Primates, Lemuridae. The record is from RefSeq and is a predicted model, not a curated record. The transcript is spliced from 3 exons.